Molecule: unclassified non-coding RNA, 830 nt
Filed under: Hevea brasiliensis (rubber tree)
Lineage: Eukaryota; Viridiplantae; Streptophyta; Magnoliopsida; Malpighiales; Euphorbiaceae
Source: RNAcentral
CUUCCUAUGACCCAAAAAUAUACCUGCAACUCCAAAUUUAUAUAAUUAUUCCAGAGAAAUGAAAACUGCUAUGAAGGUAAAAUUGAUCAACGGUUUAGUCAAGAAUCCAGAUCUAAUUACACUUUGAAAAUUAAUUUUAAUGCUACAAAAAAAAAAAGGAUAAUCACUUUAGCAGAAACAUCAUUGGAUCAAAUGGAAUUUGUUUGAUUGCCCUGGCUUCAUAGAUGCCUGGAUUCAGAUGUCAAACCAAAAGAUUCUGGUUUAACCAGGCAGGUCAGCUGUAAUCCUAGAAACCUGAUUGUAAAUCAAAGACUGUCAUGGAAUGGAUCCUACAGCAAAUAUAAAUUCUUACCCAUUUUCGCCCAUAUAGCAGGUAUGAGCAAAGACUUGGUUUGUUGAAUUUGAAAAUUCUUGUGAAGCAGCUGGCAAAAGAAAAAAAGAGGGAACAAAAAAGAUUAAUUAAUGAAUGUUGUUGAAGAUGUAAGGAGCAUUUAGGGACUUUCUAGGAUUCAGUUGAAGAAUGUUUAUGUUGAGGUAAUUAACAUACAGCUUAAGUGGAACCAAACUAGGCAAUGGCCUUCUCUGAUUCUGAGAUCAAGGGAAGAAGUGACAAUUGUCACACUAUAAUAGUGAAACAGUACUAAAGUAAACCAACAUACCUCAAGUCCCAGUCCCGAGUCACAUCCCAGUAGAAUGAAUACAAUGAGUUCAAGACACUUGAUAGAAUCCAGAGAGGCAGAUAAAAAUUUGUCCAUUUAUCAGGGAUGACAUGAUAUUUAAGGGCUGAAAGAAAAAUCACUGGCACCGCAGUUGAAUAUUUUAAAGCUGAA